RNAcentral lists this ribosomal RNA (238 nucleotides) under uncultured bacterium. RNAcentral's name for it is "partial 16S ribosomal RNA". It matches the Rfam family "Bacterial small subunit ribosomal RNA", at positions 338 to 593 of the family's 1533-position model. The record is from RNAcentral.
CCUACGGGGGGCAGCAGUGGGGAAUAUUGCACAAUGGGGGAAACCCUGAUGCAGCAACGCCGCGUGAGUGAAGAAGGUUUUCGGAUUGUAAAGCUCUGUCAGCAGGGAAGAGAAUGACGGUACCUGACCAAGAAGCCCCGGCUAAAUACGUGCCAGCAGCCGCGGUAAUACGUAUGGGGCAAGCGUUAUCCGGAUUUACUGGGUGUAAAGGGAGCGUAGGCGGCAGGGCAAGCCUGAU